GAUGAACGCUGACAGAAUGCUUAACACAUGCAAGUCCACUUGAACUUCGGUUUGGGUGGCGGACGGGUGAGUAACGCGUAAAGAACUUGCCUCACAGUUAGGGACAACAUUUGGAAACGAAUGCUAAUACCUGAUAUUAUGAUUUUAGGGCAUCCUAGAAUUAUGAAAGCUAUAUGCGCUGUGAGAGAGCUUUGCGUCCCAUUAGCUAGUUGGAGAGGUAACGGCUCACCAAGGCGAUGAUGGGUAGCCGGCCUGAGAGGGUGAACGGCCACAAGGGGACUGAGACACGGCCCUUACUCCUACGGGAGGCAGCAGUGGGGAAUAUUGGACAAUGGACCAAGAGUCUGAUCCAGCAAUUCUGUGUGCACGAUGAAGUUUUUCGGAAUGUAAAGUGCUUUCAGUUGGGAAGAAAAAAAUGACGAUACCAACAGAAGAAGAGACGGCUAAAUACGUG
Molecule: ribosomal RNA, 454 nt
Filed under: uncultured bacterium
Lineage: Bacteria
Description: partial 16S ribosomal RNA
Rfam family: Bacterial small subunit ribosomal RNA
Source: RNAcentral